Molecule: ribosomal RNA, 500 nt
Filed under: uncultured Theileria sp.
Lineage: Eukaryota; Apicomplexa; Aconoidasida; Piroplasmida; Theileriidae
Description: SSU rRNA
Rfam family: Eukaryotic small subunit ribosomal RNA
Source: RNAcentral
UGUUGUCUUGUUAAUGGAAUGAUGGGAAUUUAAACCUCUUCCAGAGUAUCAAUUGGAGGGCAAGUCUGGUGCCAGCAGCCGCGGUAAUUCCAGCUCCAAUAGCGUAUAUUAAAAUUGUUGCAGUUAAAAAGCUCGUAGUUGAAUUUCUGCUGCAUUGCAUCUUCUUUUUGAUGAGUUGGUGUAUUGUGGCUUAUUUCGGGUGAUACUUGUAUUAUCCGGAUGAUUACUUUGAGAAAAUUAGAGUGCUCAAAGCAGGCUUUUGCCUUGAAUAGUUUAGCAUGGAAUAAUAAAGUAGGACUUUGGUUCUAUUUUGUUGGUUUUAGGUACCAAAGUAAUGGUUAAUAGGAACAGUUGGGGGCAUUCGUAUUUAACUGUCAGAGGUGAAAUUCUUAGAUUUGUUAAAGACGAACUACUGCGAAAGCAUUUGCCAAGGAUGUUUUCAUUAAUCAAGAACGAAAGUUAGGGGAUCGAAGACGAUCAGAUACCGUCGUAGUCCUACC